ACAUCCAGCGAACUUGGCAGAGAUGCCUUGGUGCCUUCGGGAACGCUGAGACAGGUGCUGCAUGGCUGUCGUCAGCUCGUGUUGUGAAAUGUUGGGUUAAGUCCCGNAACGAGCGCAACCCUUAUCCUUUGUUGCCAGCGAUUCGGUCGGGAACUCAAAGGAGACUGCCGGUGAUAAACCGGAGGAAGGUGGGGAUGACGUCAAGUCAUCAUGGCCCUUACGAGUAGGGCUACACGCGUGCUACAAUGGCGCAUACAAAGAGAAGCGACCUCGCGAGAGCAAGCGGACCUCAUAAAGUGCGUCGUAGUCCGGAUCGGAGUCUGCAACUCGACUCCGUGAAGUCGGAAUCGCUAGUAAUCGUGGAUCAGAAUGCCACGGUGAAUACGUUCCCGGGCCUUGUACACACCGCCCGUCACACCAUGGGAGUGGGUUGCAAAAGAAGUAGGUAGCUUAACCUUCGGGAGGGCGCUUACCACUUUGUGAUUCAUGACUGGGGUGAAGUCGUAACAAGGUAAGCGUAGCGAG
This 525-nucleotide ribosomal RNA is filed under the name uncultured bacterium. RNAcentral describes it as "bacterial SSU rRNA". It matches the Rfam family "Bacterial small subunit ribosomal RNA", at positions 984 to 1509 of the family's 1533-position model. The record is from RNAcentral.